AAGGAGCACCACGAAAAACACUCCAAUUGGUGGGGUGUAAGCCGUGAGGGGUUCUCAUCUGUAGUGGACGAGAGCCGGGUGCACAACAGCAAAUGAAUCGCCAGACACUGUUGGGUCCUGAGGCAACACUCAGGCUUGUCCCAUGUUGGGCUUGAUCGGGUGCUGUCCCCCCAUCUGGGUGGUGGGGUGUGGUGUUUGAGUAUUGGAUAGUGGUUGCGAGCAU
This 223-nucleotide unclassified non-coding RNA is filed under the name Mycobacterium haemophilum. RNAcentral's name for it is "partial 16S-23S ribosomal RNA intergenic spacer". The record is from RNAcentral. Lineage: Bacteria; Bacillati; Actinomycetota; Actinomycetes; Mycobacteriales; Mycobacteriaceae.